UACAGAGGAGCCAAGCGUUGUCCGGAUUGACUGGGCGUAAAGCGCACGCAGGCGGGUGUGCGCGUGGGGGGGGAAAUCUGGCCGCUUAACGGCCAGGCGCCAUCCCAUACGGCACGCCUGGAGUGAUGCAGAGGUCGAUGGAAUUGCCGGUGUAGUGGUGAAAUGCGUAGAGAUCGGCAGGAACACCCAGGGGGAAACCAGUCGACUGGGCAAGUGCUGACGCUGAGGUGCGAGAGCGUGGGGAGCGAACCGG
RNAcentral lists this ribosomal RNA (253 nucleotides) under uncultured bacterium. Its description in RNAcentral is "partial 16S ribosomal RNA". It matches the Rfam family "Bacterial small subunit ribosomal RNA", at positions 524 to 776 of the family's 1533-position model. The record is from RNAcentral.